RNAcentral lists this ribosomal RNA (439 nucleotides) under uncultured bacterium. Its description in RNAcentral is "partial 16S ribosomal RNA". It matches the Rfam family "Bacterial small subunit ribosomal RNA", at positions 339 to 795 of the family's 1533-position model. The record is from RNAcentral.
CUACGGGGGGCUGCAGUGGGGAAUAUUGCACAAUGGGGGAAACCCUGAUGCAGCAACGCCGCGUGGAGGAUGACGCAUUUCGGUGUGUAAACUCCUUUUAUAUAGGAAGAUAAUGACGGUACUAUAUGAAUAAGCACCGGCUAACUCCGUGCCAGCAGCCGCGGUAAUACGGAGGGUGCAAGCGUUACUCGGAAUCACUGGGCGUAAAGCGCGCGCAGGCGGCCCCUUAAGUUGGAUGUGAAAGCCUACGGCUUAACCGUAGAACUGCAUCCAAAACUGAGGGGCUAGAGUCUGGGAGGGGAAGAUGGAAUUAGUUGUGUAGGGGUAAAAUCCGUAGAGAUAACUAGGAAUACCAAAAGCGAAGGCGAUCUUCUGGAACAGUACUGACGCUGAGGCGCGAAAGCGUGGGGAGCAAACAGGAUUAGAUACCCUAGUAGUC